AACCUGCCCUCCGCCGGGGACAACACUCCGAAAGGGGUGCUAAUACCGGAUACGAAGUCUGUGCCGCAUGGUACGGAUUUGAAAGAUGGCCUCUAUUUAUAAGCUAUCGCCGGGGGAUGGGCCUGCGUCCGAUUAGCUGGUUGGUGGGUAACGGCCUACCAAGGCGACGAUCGGUAGCCGGUCUGAGAGGAUGAACGGCCACAUUGGGACUGAGACACGGCCCAGACUCCUACGGGAGGCAGCAGUGGGGAAUCUUCCGCAAUGGGCGCAAGCCUGACGGAGCAACGCCGCGUGAAGUGAGGAAGUUCUUCGGAACGUAAAGCUCUGUUGUUCCUGACGAACCUCCCUUCUAUCAACAACGGAAGGGACUGACGGUAGGGAACGAGGAAGCCACGGCUAACUACGUGCCAGCAGCCGC
Molecule: ribosomal RNA, 418 nt
Filed under: uncultured bacterium
Lineage: Bacteria
Description: bacterial SSU rRNA
Rfam family: Bacterial small subunit ribosomal RNA
Source: RNAcentral